UACGGAGGGCGCGAGCGUUAAUCGGAAUUACUGGGCGUAAAGCGCGCGUAGGCUGUUGUGUAAGUUGGGGGUGAAAUCCCACGGCUCAACCGUGGAACAGCCCUUGAUACUGCGCGACUUGAAUCCGGGAGAGGGUGGCGGAAUUCCGGGUGUAGGAGUGAAAUCCGUAGAUAUCUGGAGGAACAUCAGUGGCGAAGGCGGCCACCUGGACCGGUAUUGACGCUGAGGCGCGAAAGCGUGGGGAGCAAACAGG
RNAcentral lists this ribosomal RNA (253 nucleotides) under uncultured bacterium. RNAcentral's name for it is "partial 16S ribosomal RNA". It matches the Rfam family "Bacterial small subunit ribosomal RNA", at positions 524 to 776 of the family's 1533-position model. The record is from RNAcentral.